Molecule: long non-coding RNA, 2312 nt
Organism: Monodelphis domestica (gray short-tailed opossum)
Lineage: Eukaryota; Metazoa; Chordata; Mammalia; Didelphimorphia; Didelphidae
Source: RefSeq, a predicted model, not a curated record
UUUAUAAUUUGUUGUGAGGAGAACAAGUCUAAUUCCUUUUCUAUUAAGAGGUAUUUAAGCCUUUGAAGAAAUCUCUCAUGUCUCUCCCCUUUCCCAUUGAGUCUUUUUGUUCUCAAAUUGAAAAUCUUAGACUUUUUUAACUGACCUUUUUUUAGUUUUUUUUUUUUAUUUGAAAACUUUUAUUAAUUAAUUAAUUUAGAUUUUUUACAUGGUUAUAUGAUUCAUAUUCUUUCCCUUCCCUCCUUUCACCCUCUCACAUAACCAACAAGCAAUUUACAUGUGUCAUUGAAUUUAAUUGAUCUUCUUAAAGGAUGAAUUUGAACCCUUUGAAAUUCUUGAUACUCUCCCAUUUAAACUACUCACCCUCACCCCACUCUUAGACAUGAAAGAAGGAAAGGGGAAAGGUCUAUUUCUGAUAUUAUGGGUUUUAAUUCUCCUAAUAGGAUUGUGAAUCUUAAAAUUUCUCAGACUUGUGAAUCUUGGAAAUUCUCAGACUACCUUAGAACAUUUGGUUAGGACCAUUCCCCAUUUUAAAACAAUGAAGUGACUUUGGUCAGGAAGGUGGGAACUCUAGCACUACUACAACCAUACUUGGGUAUGCUUUAGGGAAAUAUAAAGUUGUAAACUCCUUACUGAACAAUGAAAAGUCCCCAAAUCAUACUUAAAGUAAAGCUAAAACCCUUAAGCUGGGUCUAUUUUUAGAUCUAAUACAAAAAGGUGCUAAGUACUUAUAAAGGUCAAAUUAAUCACUAAAAGGUCAAGCAAGCUUAGCAAGAGGUGUGAGGUUUUGGCCUACCCAGAGAAGGUUCACAAGAUGUGAAUUGAGAAUGGUCAGUCCUUUGGAAAACGUCUACUGUGAUUGGUAGACGUUGAAACUUAGGGGAGGUUACAUAGGAGAAAGUUCUCUUUAAAAGGAGGUCAGAAGGCCUCUGAAAGUUAAUUCAAGUUUGGAGCUGAAUUGGAGGUCAGAGGAGGCUGCUGGGGCUCUGAGAGAGUGCAACUUUGGUAGGAUGACAGUUCAGAAGGGAUCUCAAUGGCCAUCUGAUCCGAAUCAUAAGGAAAAAAAUUACUCCACAAUGACUCAUCCCAGAAGUGAUGAACAUCUGAGUUUCUCCGAGUUCCAAAGGAGGAUAUAUCUGAGAGUGGAUUGGAACUCAGGGCUCUCUUUCCCCACAUCCAGUUUUCUCUGAUCAAGUGUGAGAAGCACAUUUGUACCCAUGAUUGGAUUGGAUGGAAGUCUGGCUUGACACUUCACCAAAGGUACAAGACCCUGUGGCAAGUAAAGUGGAGAUGUAGUAUAUUAAAGAUAAAUAAGGACAUUUUUCUUUCAGUGAAUACUUUCUGGAAAUUGUCACCAUGGAAAUCAUUCUACAAUUGAGCAUUUCUAUUUGAAAUAUAAGGGAAAUUUUCAUGUUUAACAGGACACAAACAUUAUGAAGUGUUAAUUUUUGUCAACACAUAGCUUUCUGAUGAACAAAUAAUCAAAGUGCAACUAAAAUAAUUGAAAAAAAAAACAAAAAAUCUAAUGGGAAAAUUUACACUUUUCAUUUAAUAUAUUAAUUUCUUUUUAAGAGUCUGGAUUAGAGAGAAGUUUGUGUUUUCUUGUAUCUGGGAGCUGGAUCAGACACUGUGUUUUUACAUUUCUUUGUCCUUAGUUAUUCUGAGGGAUGUUCUUAUUUAGCAAAAUGUGAUUAAUAAAUGAAGUGGACAAGGAUUCUUUUCCUGUCUAUAGACUCAUCAACACCGGAGGAUGGAAAGUGGUGGACAGGUUAAUAGGCUACCUCCUAGUUAGAUAUUGACCAAUUAGCAAUAUCUUGGGAUGUUCUAGUAUUUAUGGAGUACUUUAUGUUUUGAAAAGCACUUUAAGCACAUCAGCUUGUCUGAUUUUAAGAGCACCCAUAUGAGAGAAGGGCUAUUAUUAUCAUUAUUUAUGAAUGAAUAUACUGAUGUUGAAUGGAAUUAUAGGUUUCGCUCAGGAUUACAUCAUUAGUAAGUGCUUGAGGCAAGAUUUGAACUCACAUCUUUCUGGCUUCAAAUCCUAUACUUUAUUGUCCUGACCAGCAACUACCAUCUGAUGGGGGGUUGAACAAAAUUUUGGUGUCAAAAAGGGGUGCUCAUGAUUGUGAAGGAUAGGAAUCACUGCUCUUUUCCAAAGCCAGUUGAAUCAAGAUGAUGUACGUAAGUUACUUUGCAAAUAUUAUGUCUCUACAUGAAUAGAUCUUUUCUUCUGGGCAGAAUCCUAAAAGGAUGUAUGAAACUUUCAUAGCUUGGGACUAUCACCAUACCUUGAAUCUCUGGAUAAAAGGCCAUAU